UAUAUUAUAAAUGUUGAACUUUAAUAAUCAGAUGCAUAACAUAAGAAAGAAAAUUCGGAUCUAUUAUUAUGCUUUUGCUUUUAUAUUUUGUCAGUACCAGAGACAGGCUCCAAACUUGAUUUCUUUGCAACCGAGCUUCUACUUUCAACUUUGGGAGGUGAGUGUGAUAAGAACUUUGGUGGUGGGGGAGGUAUGUUUCUUGGGGGAGGUGGUGGAGCACUUGAUUUCUUCAAAUCAAUGUCCCCAUUCUCGAUUUUGGCAGCUGAUUGUGGCAACGAGAACUUUGGUGGUGGGGGAGGCAUAUUCCGUGGAGGUGGUGGCGGCAUGCCAUUUGACCUAGGCUCAACCAGCUUUGAUGGUGGCAUGGACGUAACACUCCCUAAACCUGAAUCCUCUGA
Molecule: long non-coding RNA, 398 nt
Filed under: Elaeis guineensis (African oil palm)
Lineage: Eukaryota; Viridiplantae; Streptophyta; Magnoliopsida; Arecales; Arecaceae
Description: long non-coding RNA (EGUI_LNC025732)
Source: RNAcentral